CUUUAGCCUAUAGUGUAACAUUAUUUGUCUGUAUUUAAAAUGGAGAAGCAAACUAUUUGCAUAUAUAUAAGUCAAUUAUGCACUGCAUAUUAUGAAAAAGCUUUCAUGUUGAUUAAUUAGUUUGAUCAAUCCCUCCUCCUACAAAGUGCUCACUUCUCAGUUUCUGUCAUUACCAUGGGCGGCGGCGGCAGCGGCGCCUCCUUCACUGAACAAGUUUCUGUUUUUGCAGGAGAACUGGUAUUGCUGAAAAGGUGAUCACAAGUUUUAACAUCUGAUGAUCAAGUUUAGGGAAAUUGGGGGUGUUUUUUUUUUGUAGCUGUGCACAUUUGCUUGUUGCAUGUUGUAAGACUCAACACUUUGUAAUCAAGAAUCUAACUUGUGUGACAAAUGGACGAUUAGUGUUGUUUUUAA
Salvia splendens (bonfire salvia) is the source of this 411-nucleotide long non-coding RNA. RefSeq lists it as uncharacterized. The record is from RefSeq and is a predicted model, not a curated record. Lineage: Eukaryota; Viridiplantae; Streptophyta; Magnoliopsida; Lamiales; Lamiaceae. The transcript is spliced from 2 exons.